AAACCAGCACCUCAAGUGGUCAGGAUGAUUAUUGGGCCUAAAGCAUCCGUAGCCUGCUCUGUAAGUUUUCGGUUAAAUCUGUACGCUCAACGUACAGGCUGUCGGGAAUACUGCAGAGCUAGGGAGUGGGAGAGGUAGACGGUACUCGGGAGGAAGUGGUAAAAUGCUUUGAUCUCUCGAUGACCGCCUGUGGCGAAGGCGGUCUACCAGAACACGUCCGACGGUGAGGGAUGAAAGCUGGGGGAGCAAACCGGAUUAGAAACCCGAGUAGUCC
This 274-nucleotide ribosomal RNA is filed under the name uncultured bacterium. RNAcentral's name for it is "partial 16S ribosomal RNA". It matches the Rfam family "Archaeal small subunit ribosomal RNA", at positions 473 to 747 of the family's 1478-position model. The record is from RNAcentral.